Non-coding RNA from Leptonychotes weddellii (Weddell seal), 317 nucleotides. Lineage: Eukaryota; Metazoa; Chordata; Mammalia; Carnivora; Phocidae. The record is from RefSeq and is a predicted model, not a curated record.
UGGAGGCGCACUCCAGCAGACGCCGCUCCCGCGCUCCUCCCUCUCUUCUGCACCCGCUGUCACGCUGCCCGCCGGCGGGGGAGCAUCGCGAGCCUCCAGGAUCACUCUGGCUUCUGGGUUGGACAUUGAGUGCAGAGGCCAGAAGACCAGCUGAGAGGCUGCUGCAGUGGCCCAGGUGAAGAGACUGAGGUCCUAAAUUUGUACUGAUCUCACUGCAUGCUGUGUCUCGGAGACAGUUGGAGCCCUGAUCCAGAGCCCUUGGGUAUUGCCUCAAAAGAUUGCACUACUUAUCGGUGGAAGACUCCUCUUCAUUUUCU